GGAAGCGUGGGGUUGCUGCCCAGCCUCCCACGCAGUGUAAUAUGUUGAAGCCGGGCCCCUUUGAGGGAAUGCGACUUCCUUGGGCCGAGGGGGAAAGGGUAAAAGUUAAUUUUCAUAAAAUGCUAUGCAAGGGCUAAAUGUGAAAUUAUAAAAUGUCCUUUAAGACAGUCUUCUUGAAAUCGUAUCAAGUUUGACAAGAUUUUUGGUGCACGGUAACGCUUUUGCUCGCUUUCUACGCUGUCACGUCUCCAUCCUGCAACACUGAAUACGUAGAUGGAACGUGGAUCAGCUAAUAACUGCAGCAAAAUAAAAACUGCAUUUAUCAUCUUUAUCAUUAUUUAAAUAGACCUCCGAGAAGUCAAACUGUGAUUUAGGAAAACUUAAUCAUUGCCUCAACCUAUUUAACUAUUUUGUUUUGAAGUUACUUUGCAAAUAUACCACAAAAUCCCUCUUUGUUAGGCAGUGGUAGACUUUUAAACUCACUUGUUAGAGAAUCUUUCCCAGAAGCAUAUCUAGUUGAGCCUGCGAGGCAAGUAGGACUAAGGUAUAAUUACUCCCAUUUUACAGAUGAAAAUUUAGUUAUCAAAAUGUAAGUCAGUUGUUCAGCAUUGUGAGGAGUCUAUCACUGAUAAAGGGAAAACUCUAAGGUCUAUUAUUGCCUGCUUUAUUCACUAAACCAGAAAUCUCUCAAUUGUUUUUUUCCAAGUAUCUUUUGCUGCCUCUUACGUAUUGUAGGCAGUGCCUGAUGGCUGAGAAGAAUCGCAGAGGACUAGAAAAGGUUUGAGUCUGAAAUUAUCUGGCACAGAGGAUUAAAGCUCAGAAAUAAGUGAUUGCGAAACAGUUCAACUUCCCUGUUAAUGACAACAACAACAGCAACACGCUUAUUAAUUCCUAGCUGGAGCAUCAAGCUUAUGAAGAUUUCCAAGACUUUAUUGUUGACCCUUGUUGAAGAGAACUCUACUUGGCUUCUUUCCUGGCUUUCCUAAAUUGUUCACAUACAAGAUAAACUACCGUCAUUCAGACUUACAGAAGUGAGAAGACAAGCUGAACCAAAUGUAAAAUGGUAGCAAUUUACAGGUAAUUCUGUAUCUUAAUUUCUCCCACAUUUUUAGGGUAAAAAAUUGUGAUAUAUGGGGGUUAUUUGGAUCAAGUGUUUUCUAAGUAGAACUUUGUCAUAAUUAAUUUUAUGUAUUUAUAGUAGUUCUCCCUGUGUCCCUUUAUCCAAGCAACACAAUACAAUUGAAUUUAUAUGCAUUUCAAAAUAGACUCCAUUUGAUUUACCGUGUAAAUACAACCACCAAGGAAUAUA
Molecule: long non-coding RNA, 1309 nt
Organism: Homo sapiens (human)
Lineage: Eukaryota; Metazoa; Chordata; Mammalia; Primates; Hominidae
Gene: MALINC1
Product: mitosis associated long intergenic non-coding RNA 1
Source: Ensembl